AUAGCAAGUGAACUUAAACAGAGAAAAUAUGUACAUAGCAGAGAAAUGUGACUUAGCUACUUAAUCUUAUUAGGAUGGUAGUUUUUAGUAACUAAGGAAACUAAAAAUAAAAAUUGAUUCUACAAUUUAUAUUUUAUAACUAAUCCUCAAAAUCCUUUUUAUGGGGUGCUUGGGCCAAAAAUUUGUUUUGUCACCAUUUUUUUUUUUUACCAUCCAUGUAAACAUCAUUGCUUUUGAAACAUUGUUUAAAAAAUAAACUAUAGAUUAUGUAGUUGUUGAAGUAAACAUUAAUAACAUCUAAUUGUAAUUCAAAGAUGAUCAACUGAGGCAUAAUUUACCAUUUAGAGUAUUACAUACUGUUAAAACAUAAUGGGAGAACAACUUGUAUUGAGAAUGAUCCACAAGGAAAGAGAAUGGCAAAACUCUCAAGUUCACCAAGACUCGUCUGCUAGUCUCAUGGUUAGGAUUUCAAUCUCACAAUUACCAUUUCACAUAUUUGAAUCUCCAUGAGCACUAGCAACAACCAUUGAUGCACAAGUUUUCAAAUGCUUGAAGAAGACAUGUGCUUGUUCUUCUAUCCUCCAAAAAUUUCAAAUUCAUGAAUUAGUCAACUAUAGGAAGCUUUCGGAUGAAACCGGGCCCAUAUCCUAAAAUUCAAAACAGAGGCAAUAAAAUAAUAAGAGAGAGCAUAGGGGAGUUGAAUUACCAAGAGACAAAUGUGUAAUUAAGUAUUUGCUUAGAUGCAUUUACUGUUUUAUAUUUUUAAAAGGAGAAAAUAGCUUGUUUAUAUAAAAUACAAAAAAAAUUAAAGACUUACAUUCACAUGAUAAUAGUUUUAAAAAUUGUUUAAAAUUUUGAAGUAUUAAAAAUGUUUUCUUACCUCAAAUUUUAAAAUUUUUUGAUGUAAUUUUAAAAAAAAUAAAAGGUAAGUCUACUUUUUGUACAAGAGUUUCUACUUUUUAUAUAGAAAUAAUUCUUAUUUUUGUUUUUUUCUCUCUUAAAAGUAUAUCUAAACAAGAUCAAAGACUGCAUUAAAACUUCAUCUUGUCAUAAUGAAUAUACCGUCUAAAGUAAGCCACUAAAUAAUAUGAAUCCUUUGCUCUUUACCACCUCAUUGUAGAUUGAAAUUUCAAAUUUGUGCUCGAUUCCAAGGCUUUUGAGAAGGAUUCCUCACUCCCAAGAGUACUUUAGAAGAUGAAUCCCUAUGUUAAUUGCAAAAAAACAUCUAGUGAGUAAUAAUGUGAAUUCAUCCUAUUCUUAAGACAAACUUUGUCACAAGUAUCUAUAGUACGAAUGCUCACAAAUUAUCAAACUUACAAUUAUUCAUGUGAAGGAAAAUCCACCCAAAGUAUCCUGAUUUCUCAAAAACAGAGUCAAUUAGGAAUAUGACCUGGUUGUAGGAGCUUCCUAUAGAGCAGAUAAUAUUCAAAAUAAUUGUCAUUUUUAAAGAUUAAGCUUGAUCCACAGCACAAAAUAUUAAAAUUAUAACUAUUCCAUAUAUGGAAAGAAAACAUCUCAAAAGCAAACUUAGAAGAUAAAAAUAGAUAUAAAAUAAAUUUUUGCAUAGAAUUGAAUAAUUUUUUUCAUAGACUCUAAAAAGUAGAUAAGACAAAAAUAAAUUUCACUUAAAGGACACACUUCUAGAAUUCUAAAAGAGCAUAUAGUAUUUUCAUAUUAGACUUGUUAUUCACCCAAUUGAAUAUGACAAGAAAACAAGCAGAAUAUAGUAAUAGUUACCUACCUCAGCUAGAGCUUAUUACAAGCUUUGACCGUUUCACUUUGGGACAGUGAGGUUGUAGUUCUAACUCAUUGAGCUCCUUUGUUAAGACCACCUGCCCAUACCAAAUUAACGAAAGGGAAAAAAAGAAAUAACUUAAAAUCCUUUUUUUUUUUUUUGGGUUUGCGUGUGUCGUAAGGGUGUAAUUCACCAUAAAACAUCUUGUAAAAACUGAAGAAACCUUAUAUGUAAUACAUGACCCGAACUUGCUAAGAAUAUUGUCACUAUCAUUGUCCUAUCAAUUCAGUUUGUGAUGUACUAGCUCAAUUGCCUGUUAGAAUGAUUCAAGUAAUGAAUAACUUUCCAUUAGUAUUUGGUAAAAUAGAAUAAAUACCAUCAAAAUAUUCAAAUAUGCUCACAGUUCAUCAUAGUGUGAGAGUUGAUUGCAUUUCUUUCAUUCCAUAAGAAUCUCCACUUUUUAGUCCUACUAUGAUGGGGAAAUUAAAUUAGGUUAUACUUACCAAUCAAAAAAAUCAGAAAAACUAGUUUCAAAUUUAAGGGAGAGGUACAAGAAAAUACUGUUGUCAUAAAAUAGAAUAAAAUAUUAAGAAGCAAAAUCAAAGUUUUGAGGAAAAUGCCAAUUCACUUCCUAUAAAUUUGACAAAUCUUGUUUGAAAAUCUGAAAUGUGUUUAACCUUUUCUAUAUUUUUAAAUAUUUUUUUAAAUAACUUUAAUUUGUAAAUACUUAAUUUUCAAUCAU
RNAcentral lists this long non-coding RNA (2477 nucleotides) under Vitis vinifera (wine grape). RNAcentral describes it as "long non-coding RNA (VVIN_LNC006840)". The record is from RNAcentral. Lineage: Eukaryota; Viridiplantae; Streptophyta; Magnoliopsida; Vitales; Vitaceae.